RNAcentral lists this ribosomal RNA (253 nucleotides) under uncultured bacterium. Its description in RNAcentral is "partial 16S ribosomal RNA". It matches the Rfam family "Bacterial small subunit ribosomal RNA", at positions 524 to 776 of the family's 1533-position model. The record is from RNAcentral.
UACGUAGGGUGCAAGCGUUAAUCGGAAUUACUGGGCGUAAAGCGUGCGCAGGCGGUUUUGUAAGUCAGAUGUGAAAUCCCCGGGCUUAACCUGGGAACUGCGUUUGAAACUACAAGGCUAGAGUGUGGCAGAGGGGGGUGGAAUUCCACGUGUAGCAGUGAAAUGCGUAGGGAUGUGGAGGAACACCGAUGGCGAAGGCAGCCCCCUGGGUUAACACUGACGCUCAGGCACGAAAGCGUGGGGAGCAAACAGG